This 77-nucleotide transfer RNA is filed under the name Pseudomonadota bacterium. RNAcentral's name for it is "tRNA-Leu". It matches the Rfam family "tRNA". Rfam says of the family: Transfer RNA (tRNA) molecules are approximately 80 nucleotides in length. Their secondary structure includes four short double-helical elements and three loops (D, anti-codon, and T loops). Lineage: Bacteria; Pseudomonadati; Pseudomonadota. RNAcentral also lists the same sequence under 1 other name. The record is from RNAcentral.
GCCUUCCUGGCGCAAUUGGAAGACGCGCUGGUUUCAGGAACCAGAUGUUCCGAGUUCGAAUCUCGGGGAAGGCACCA